AAGUUCCGCCGAUAUUCACGCAAUGAUGUUUUAGCUAAUGAGUCGUAGUAUUUGGGGACCGGACCAUUGUUGAACACACCUUAAAUCAACACCGAAGAAAACAUUAGCCGUCUGAGAGACCGAUCAGUGAUUCUCAAGGAACAACCUUCCAAUGCUCGAACCGGAGUUUGGUUGAAACGAGAGAGUUCUUUGGACCUAGACACUGGUAUUUUUGUAGCAGUACUUGAGGCCGGUUCAUCUAUGGUCUCUCGUGGAAAAGAGUGGAUCACCCUGAGAUGGCCGCCAAACAUGGUGGCACUCAACUAUGCUCAGCCUCGAUAGCCAGGCUUCGGUCACUGCCUAGCCCAUGCCCUAUGGACAUGGAUCGAUGGUGAGGUGCGUGGUGCCCCACCUGAGCCAGGUACCAUGUUGGCAGCCGGCCACGGCUCUUCUGGAUUAUGUAUCCUUAUAUAACAUGAUUUUCCAUUGACAGACAAUAAUUUAAAUUUGAUACCAUACCGCAAAUAAUUGAAAUCAUCCAGCUUGUUUAAAACUGGAUUCCGAGAUUUCUUGCAAUGUAAGGAUGCUUCACCCAAACACAUCGACAAUCAUAAGCAUCCAGUUGUGAGUCAACACUCUAAAGAUUGCCAUAACUUACGCUCUUGUUAUUGACUAAUCAAUAAUUGAUUUAUGUACAACAUAAAACCGUGCCCCCCGCCAUAUAUUUCAGGAUAUCAUGGUGUACGAUUCCAUUUUUUUUUCCAGCAUUCAACCUAGAAGUGUAAUCUAGCCAUAGAGCAGUAAUGUCACUUUAUUUUAAAUUACUUACAUGGUGAUGCUGCUAUUUUAGCCGGACGUCCAGACUAUUGGAGUACUUCCUCUGCAGGUGAGCUCUG
Punica granatum (pomegranate) is the source of this 875-nucleotide non-coding RNA. NCBI's taxonomy places the organism in Eukaryota, Viridiplantae, Streptophyta, Magnoliopsida, Myrtales, Lythraceae. The record is from RefSeq and is a predicted model, not a curated record.